AUACGGAGGGUGCGAGCGUUAAUCGGAAUUACUGGGCGUAAAGCGCGCGUAGGCGGUUUGGUCAGUCGGAUGUGAAAGCCCCAGGCUCAACCUGGGAAUGGCAUUCGAUACUGCCUGACUAGAGUAUGGUAGAGGGAAGUGGAAUUUCCGGUGUAGCGGUGAAAUGCGUAGAUAUCGGAAGGAACACCAGUGGCGAAGGCGACUUCCUGGGCCAAUACUGACGCUAAGGUGCGAAAGCGUGGGGAGCAAACAGGAUUAGAAACCCCGGUAGUCC
This 274-nucleotide ribosomal RNA is filed under the name uncultured bacterium. RNAcentral describes it as "partial 16S ribosomal RNA". It matches the Rfam family "Bacterial small subunit ribosomal RNA", at positions 523 to 796 of the family's 1533-position model. The record is from RNAcentral.